GAUGAACGCUGGCGGCGUGCCUAAUACAUGCAAGUCGAGCGAACGGACGAGAAGCUUGCUUUUCUGAUGUUAGCGGCGGACGGGUGAGUAACACGUGGAUAACCUACCUAUAAGACUGGGAUAACUUCGGGAAACCGGAGCUAAUACCGGAUAAUAUUUUGAACCGCAUGGUUCAAAAGUGAAAGACGGUCUUGCUGUCACUUAUAGAUGGAUCCGCGCUGCAUUAGCUAGUUGGUAAGGUAACGGCUUACCAAGGCAACGAUGCAUAGCCGACCUGAGAGGGUGAUCGGCCACACUGGAACUGAGACACGGUCCAGACUCCUACGGGAGGCAGCAGUAGGGAAUCUUCCGCAAAGGGCGAAAGCCUGACGGAGCAACGCCGCGUGAGUGAUGAAGGUCUUCGGAUCGUAAAGCUCUGUUAUUAGGGAAGAACAUAUGUGUAAGUAACUGUGCACAUCUUGACGGUACCUAAUCAGAAAGCCACGGCUAACUACGUG
RNAcentral lists this ribosomal RNA (497 nucleotides) under uncultured bacterium. Its description in RNAcentral is "partial 16S ribosomal RNA". It matches the Rfam family "Bacterial small subunit ribosomal RNA", at positions 28 to 507 of the family's 1533-position model. The record is from RNAcentral.